UGAAGAUGUGGCUGAUUCUGAGCCAGAGAAUGAAGCUGGUGAGGACUCUGAGAAAACCACCAAUGAAGAACAGGAUAUAGUGGAUGUUGAUGAAGUCCCCUCUGAAGAAGAUCUGCAAUCUCCACCUACUCAAAAAGGUAUUGGGAGAAGACUGAGAAGCAGGACCACUACACCUGCACCUGCUGUUACCACUACCCCUGUU
This 202-nucleotide long non-coding RNA is filed under the name Trifolium pratense (red clover). RNAcentral describes it as "long non-coding RNA (TPRA_LNC005318)". The record is from RNAcentral. Lineage: Eukaryota; Viridiplantae; Streptophyta; Magnoliopsida; Fabales; Fabaceae.